CCCUUAGAUGUUCCGGGCCGCACACGCGCUACACUGAAGGAGGCAGCGUGUACUCCUGGAUCGAAAGAUUUGGGUAACCCGCGAAUCUCCUUCGUGCUAGGGAUUGAGGUUUGCAAUUAUCCUUCAUGAACGAGGAAUUCCCAGUAAGUGCAAGUCAUAAGCUUGCGCUGACUACGUCCCUGCCCUUUGUACACACCGCCCGUCGCUACUACCGAUUGAAUGAUUUAGUGAGGACUUCGGACUGGGACCGAUGCGGCUUUCGGGCUGCGUCGGUAUUCUGGAAAGAUGUCCAAACUGUAUCAUUUAGAGGAAGUAAAAGUCGUANCA
Molecule: ribosomal RNA, 327 nt
Filed under: uncultured eukaryote
Lineage: Eukaryota
Description: partial 18S ribosomal RNA
Rfam family: Eukaryotic small subunit ribosomal RNA
Source: RNAcentral